Molecule: transfer RNA, 74 nt
Filed under: Herbiconiux sp. L3-i23
Lineage: Bacteria; Bacillati; Actinomycetota; Actinomycetes; Micrococcales; Microbacteriaceae
Description: tRNA-Ala
Rfam family: tRNA
About the family: Transfer RNA (tRNA) molecules are approximately 80 nucleotides in length. Their secondary structure includes four short double-helical elements and three loops (D, anti-codon, and T loops).
Source: RNAcentral
GGGGACGUAGCUCAGUUGGCAGAGCGCCUGCUUUGCAAGCAGGAUGUCAGGGGUUCGAUUCCCCUCGUCUCCAC